AGCCCAUAGAGGUUAAGGAACACAACCUGAAGCUAGCGCAAAAUUUUUUUUACCUCCUCAGAAAAUCUGUCAAGUUUUUAGGCCAUAUCGUCACGGCAGAGGGCAUUGCAACCGACCCAGGAAAAGUGUCUGCAAUCAACGACAUCACAGCAGCUGACCUGAUGGAAAAUGAUGGGAAAACACCUUCACCCACCAAGGACAGAAAAGUAAGCGGAAAGGAGAAAAAGGAAAACCUCAUGGCAUGGCCCAUAAACGUCUGAAACCUGAAGACUGGACUUCUGAAUGUGGGGAGGCGCUGGAGAAGCUAAAAGCUGCUGUCUCCCAAAAAGCCGUGCUGGCUCACCCAGACUUUAACAGACCAUUUCUCCUAUCAACAGAUGCAUCAAUGGAUGGCUUAGGUGCAGUACUUAGUCAGACAUUUGAGGGUGAGAGUAGGCCCAGACCAGUAGCUUUUGCAAGCAAGACUCUGUCGAGGUCCCAGUCCCGUUACCCAGCACACAGAUUAGAGUUCUUCGCUCUUAAGUGGGCUGUGUGUGAUAAGUUCACCCAUUGGCUGAAGGGGAAUAGAUUCUAAGUCCUAACAGAUAACAACCCCCUGACAUAUAUAAUUACGAAACCAAAGCUAGAUGCCUGUGAGCAGCGAUGGGUCUCUAAACUGGCCCCCUUCGACUUUGACUUGAAGUACAUCCCCGGGCCCCAGAAUGUCCCAGCAGACCAGCUUAGUCGACAGCCAUUCGUUGGAGCUAGGAAGGCAAGUGAGUUCCCAGAGUAUGUGACUUCAGAGUCCAUCCAGGACGCAUUCAAACUGUCAGUCAAUAUCCAAGGUGGUGAGAUCCUGGCUCAAGUCUCUUCUGAAGGGGUGAAAGCAGUUUUGGAGUCCUGUCUGGAGUGGGAUGUGAGUGUGCCAGUGCGCACAUUCCAAUUAGCCCAGUAUUCUGCCAGCAUCCCUCAGCAUGAAGGGGGAGUGGCUACUCUUCCAGUCCUUUCUCCUGAUGUGAUACGGAGAAAACAGAAGGCGGAUCAGGUGCUGGCCCGAGUGGCGUACUUUGUUGAGAGGAGGAGGAGACCUUCGCGGAGAGAGAGGGCUCAUGAGACUGCCCAAGUGUUGAGAAUGCUGAAGCAUUGGGAUAAACUCGAAAUCAAGGAUG
RNAcentral lists this long non-coding RNA (1148 nucleotides) under Salmo salar (Atlantic salmon). RNAcentral describes it as "lncRNA (ENSSSAG00000101132.1)". Lineage: Eukaryota; Metazoa; Chordata; Actinopteri; Salmoniformes; Salmonidae. The record is from RNAcentral.